Molecule: ribosomal RNA, 253 nt
Filed under: uncultured bacterium
Lineage: Bacteria
Description: partial 16S ribosomal RNA
Rfam family: Bacterial small subunit ribosomal RNA
Source: RNAcentral
UACGUAGGGUGCAGGCGUUAAUCGGAAUUACUGGGCGUAAAGCGUGCGCAGGCGGUUUGCUAAGACAGGUGUGAAAUCCCCGGGCUUAACCUGGGAACUGCGCUUGUAACUGGCAAGCUAGAGUGUGGCAGAGGGGGGUGGAAUUCCAGGUGUAGCAGUGAAAUGCGUAGAGAUCUGGAGGAACACCGAUGGCGAAGGCAGCCCCCUGGGCUAACACUGACGCUCAUGCACGAAAGCGUGGGGAGCAAACGGG